RNAcentral lists this unclassified non-coding RNA (343 nucleotides) under soil metagenome. RNAcentral describes it as "partial contains 5.8S ribosomal RNA, internal transcribed spacer 2, and large subunit ribosomal RNA". The stretch from base 1 to 120 matches the Rfam family "5.8S ribosomal RNA", at positions 35 to 154 of the family's 154-position model. The record is from RNAcentral.
GAUGAAGAACGCAGCGAAAUGCGAUAAGUAAUGUGAAUUGCAGAAUCCAGUGAAUCAUCGAAUCUUUGAACGCACAUUGCGCCCGCCAGCAUUCUCGCGGGCAUGCCUGUUCGAGCGUCAUUUCAACCCUCGACCUCCCCUUGGGGAGGUCGGCGUUGGGGACCGGCAGCACACCGCCGGCCCUGAAAUGGAGUGGCGGCCCGUCCGCGGCGACCUCUGCGCAGUAAUACAGCUCGCACCGGGACCCCGACGCGGCCACGCCGUAAAACACCCAACUUCUGAACGUUGACCUCGAAUCAGGUAGGACUACCCGCUGAACUUAAGCAUAUCAAUAAGCGGAGGA